UACGUAGGGGGCAAGCGUUGUCCGGAAUUAUUGGGCGUAAAGAGCGCGUAGGCGGUCCGAUAAGUCGGCUGUGAAAGUCCAGGGCUCAACCCUGGAAAGCCGGCCGAUACUGUCGGACUAGAGUCCGGAAGAGGCAAGUGGAAUUCCCGGUGUAGCGGUGAAAUGCGCAGAUAUCGGGAGGAACAUCAGUGGCGAAGGCGGCCUUCUGGACCAGUACUGACGCUGAGGCACGAAAGCGUGGGGAGCAAACAGG
RNAcentral lists this ribosomal RNA (253 nucleotides) under uncultured bacterium. RNAcentral describes it as "partial 16S ribosomal RNA". It matches the Rfam family "Bacterial small subunit ribosomal RNA", at positions 524 to 776 of the family's 1533-position model. The record is from RNAcentral.